AAAUUGAAGAGUUUGAUCAUGGCUCAGAUUGAACGCUGGCGGCAGGCCUAACACAUGCAAGUCGAGCGGUAACACAGAGAGCUUGCUCUCGGGUGACGAGCGGCGGACGGGUGAGUAAUGUCUGGGAAACUGCCUGAUGGAGGGGGAUAACUACUGGAAACGGUAGCUAAUACCGCAUAACGUCGCAAGACCAAAGUGGGGGACCUUCGGGCCUCAUGCCAUCAGAUGUGCCCAGAUGGGAUUAGCUAGUAGGUGGGGUAAUGGCUCACCUAGGCGACGAUCCCUAGCUGGUCUGAGAGGAUGACCAGCCACACUGGAACUGAGACACGGUCCAGACUCCUACGGGAGGCAGCAGUGGGGAAUAUUGCACAAUGGGCGCAAGCCUGAUGCAGCCAUGCCGCGUGUAUGAAGAAGGCCUUCGGGUUGUAAAGUACUUUCAGCGAGGAGGAAGGCGUUAAGGUUAAUAACCUUGGCGAUUGACGUUACUCGCAGAAGAAGCACCGGCUAACUCCGUGCCAGCAGCCGCGGUAAUACGGAGGGUGCAAGCGUUAAUCGGAAUUACUGGGCGUAAAGCGCACGCAGGCGGUCUGUCAAGUCGGAUGUGAAAUCCCCGGGCUCAACCUGGGAACUGCAUUCGAAACUGGCAGGCUAGAGUCUUGUAGAGGGGGUAGAAUUCCAGGUGUAGCGGUGAAAUGCGUAGAGAUCUGGAGGAAUACCGGUGGCGAAGGCGGCCCCCUGGACAAAGACUGACGCUCAGGUGCGAAAGCGUGGGGAGCAAACAGGAUUAGAUACCCUGGUAGUCCACGCCGUAAACGAUGUCGACUUGGAGGUUGUGCCCUUGAGGCGUGGCUUCCGGAGCUAACGCGUUAAGUCGACCGCCUGGGGAGUACGGCCGCAAGGUUAAAACUCAAAUGAAUUGACGGGGGCCCGCACAAGCGGUGGAGCAUGUGGUUUAAUUCGAUGCAACGCGAAGAACCUUACCUACUCUUGACAUCCAGAGAACUUAGCAGAGAUGCUUUGGUGCCUUCGGGAACUCUGAGACAGGUGCUGCAUGGCUGUCGUCAGCUCGUGUUGUGAAAUGUUGGGUUAAGUCCCGCAACGAGCGCAACCCUUAUCCUUUGUUGCCAGCGAUUCGGUCGGGAACUCAAAGGAGACUGCCAGUGAUAAACUGGAGGAAGGUGGGGAUGACGUCAAGUCAUCAUGGCCCUUACGAGUAGGGCUACACACGUGCUACAAUGGCAUAUACAAAGAGAAGCGACCUCGCGAGAGCAAGCGGACCUCAUAAAGUAUGUCGUAGUCCGGAUUGGAGUCUGCAACUCGACUCCAUGAAGUCGGAAUCGCUAGUAAUCGUAGAUCAGAAUGCUACGGUGAAUACGUUCCCGGGCCUUGUACACACCGCCCGUCACACCAUGGGAGUGGGUUGCAAAAGAAGUAGGUAGCUUAACCUUCGGGAGGGCGCUUACCACUUUGUGAUUCAUGACUGGGGUGAAGUCGUAACAAGGUAACCGUAGGGGAACCUGCGGUUGGAUCACCUCCUUACCUUAAAGAA
RNAcentral lists this ribosomal RNA (1549 nucleotides) under Klebsiella aerogenes. Its description in RNAcentral is "bacterial SSU rRNA". It matches the Rfam family "Bacterial small subunit ribosomal RNA". The record is from RNAcentral. Lineage: Bacteria; Pseudomonadati; Pseudomonadota; Gammaproteobacteria; Enterobacterales; Enterobacteriaceae.